RNAcentral lists this ribosomal RNA (382 nucleotides) under uncultured bacterium. RNAcentral describes it as "bacterial SSU rRNA". It matches the Rfam family "Bacterial small subunit ribosomal RNA", at positions 424 to 823 of the family's 1533-position model. The record is from RNAcentral.
UGUAAACCCCUUUCGACCGGGACGAUAAUGACGGUACCGGUGGAAGAAGCACCGGCUAACUCCGUGCCAGCAGCCGCGGUAAUACUAAGGGGGCGAGCGUUGUUCGGAAUUAUUGGGCGUAAAGGGCGCGUAGGCGGUGUUGUAAGUCACGUGUGAAAGCUCUGGGCUUAACUCGGAGCCUGCACCCGAAACUGCACUGCUGGAGGGUGGGAGAGGUGCGUGGAAUUCCCGGUGUAGCAGUGAAAUGCGUAUAUAUCGGGAGGAACACCUGUGGCGAAAGCGGCGCACUGGACCAUUACUGACGCUGAGGCGCUGAAGCUAGGGGAGCAAACAGGAUUAAAUACCCUGGUAGUCCACGCCCUAAACUAUGAUUGCUUGGUGU